AAAAAAAAAAAAAAAAAAAUUGUUAACCUCGGAGCACAGCACAGGUGCAAUUUGGUUAAUUUGCUAAAACAUUGAAAAUGCUAAAAGAAGGCCUACAAAAUGAAACUAUGAUAAUCCUACUGGAAAUUAACAAAUAUAGUAAUCCAUUUAGUAAACUAGUAGAUAGUCAUUGUCAAUUUGUGAUGAUACAGACAAUGCUAUUUUGGAAUUAAAUUGUGUCCCCUAAUAUUUACAUGGAUAAAGUAACCAUUGAGGAAGAUUGUUUAGGGUAUAGCUCUUUUCAUUUCUUCUUCUUGCAGCAUUGGUUUAUUAUUAUUUUAUUAUACAUUCUCAGCACUUGUCAAAUAUGGAUUUUAAUUGUCAUUUCCAUCAAAUAAUGCAGGUCCACACAUUCAAGAAAGCAUGU
Molecule: unclassified non-coding RNA, 406 nt
Filed under: Hevea brasiliensis (rubber tree)
Lineage: Eukaryota; Viridiplantae; Streptophyta; Magnoliopsida; Malpighiales; Euphorbiaceae
Source: RNAcentral